Molecule: ribosomal RNA, 547 nt
Filed under: uncultured Bacteroidota bacterium
Lineage: Bacteria; Pseudomonadati; Bacteroidota
Description: bacterial SSU rRNA
Rfam family: Bacterial small subunit ribosomal RNA
Source: RNAcentral
UGAGGAAUAUUGGACAAUGGAGGCAACUCUGAUCCAGCCAUGCCGCGUGCAGGAAGACUGCCCUAUGGGUUGUAAACUGCUUUUAUACAGGAAGAAACCUACUUACGUGUAAGUAGCUGACGGUACUGUAAGAAUAAGGAUCGGCUAACUCCGUGCCAGCAGCCGCGGUAAUACGGAGGAUCCAAGCGUUAUCCGGAAUCAUUGGGUUUAAAGGGUCCGUAGGUGGUUUAUUAAGUCAGAGGUGAAAUCCCAUAGCUUAACUAUGGAACUGCCUUUGAUACUGAUAGACUUGAGUUAUUGUGAAGUGGUUAGAAUGUGUAGUGUAGCGGUGAAAUGCAUAGAUAUUACACAGAAUACCGAUUGCGAAGGCAGAUCACUAACAAUAUACUGACACUGAGGGACGAAAGCGUGGGUAGCGAACAGGAUUAGAUACCCUGGUAGUCCACGCCGUAAACGAUGGUCACUAGCUGUUUGACUAACAUUGGUUAGUUGAGUGGCUAAGCGAAAGUGAUAAGUGACCCACCUGGGGAGUACGCUCGCAAGAGUG